Molecule: non-coding RNA, 81 nt
Organism: Schizophyllum amplum
Lineage: Eukaryota; Fungi; Basidiomycota; Agaricomycetes; Agaricales; Schizophyllaceae
Source: the annotation of a GenBank genome assembly
GCAUUAAUGGGGUAGUGGUAACCUGGGUCGUUGCCAGCUGCAAAGUUCGACCCGCCGGGGGUUCGAUUCCCCCUUAAUGCA